GACGAACGCUGGCGGCGUGCCUAACACAUGCAAGUCGAACGGAGCACUUCGGUGCUUAGUGGCGAACGGGUGAGUAACGCGUGAGAAACCUGCCUUUCAGUGGGGGACAACAGUGGGAAACUACUGCUAAUACCGCAUAAUGUUAUUUGGGGGCAUCCCCGAAUAACCAAAGAUUUAUUGCUGAAAGAUGGUCUCGCGUCUGAUUAGCUAGUUGGUGAGGUAACGGCUCACCAAGGCGACGAUCAGUAGCCGGUCUGAGAGGAUGAACGGCCACAUUGGGACUGAGAUACGGCCCAG
This 297-nucleotide ribosomal RNA is filed under the name uncultured bacterium. RNAcentral describes it as "partial 16S ribosomal RNA". It matches the Rfam family "Bacterial small subunit ribosomal RNA", at positions 28 to 334 of the family's 1533-position model. The record is from RNAcentral.